AAAAAGGGAAGUCCUCAGGAUUUGGAUCCUGGGUAAAAGAAGGCCCCAAAAUGAGCCGAGUAGGGUCCGAAGAAAGAUAUGGUUUGAGCAAAGUAUAAUCCAGCGAAGGACGAGUAGGCAAUGGUGGAAGAAGCGCCAUUGUUGGAAGCGAAAAAUAUACGAAGAAGAACGUAAAAGACAAAGAGGAGAAGAAGAGGAAAAGAUAGAAGAGACAAAAAGAAACUUAGGAAGAAAGAAAAGGCCACCCGUCACACCAGUUAUGAGUUCCGAGGUCGGCUAUAAUGAUGAAUGGACGGCGGUAAUUAAGAUGACCUAAUUAAUGCCGCAUAUGAGACAAAAUUGAGAAUGUGAUCAAGGCCGUGGAGAAGAGAAUCAACGGCCAAGGUUAAAACCGUAAAAGAUUGUGUCACGAAUCGCUGCAGAUCUUGAUUGGACCGAGAAACACGCCUCGGAUCAAGCUUGCUUUCGGCAAUAGGAAAUUGAAGAUGGCGCCAGCUACCGAAGAGUCGCUUCGAAAGCUGCCGAGGGGGCAAUUGUUGGACCAAUCCGGCGCGGACAGUUGGCACACCGAGUUCAUAUCCAUAUUCAGGAUUCGAAACGUUGGACCGGGAUCACGGAAGAAAUGCGCUAAGAGAUAUUAGCCGUGUUUGUUCAAAAACGUGGCAACCGCAAGCGGUUAUGAGCGGUUCCAAACGGCGGUUCCAAUCGGCCGAACGUGGUCCUCCAAAUCCGGAGAAGAUGGCCGAUCGUGCAAUAACAACAAAUGAACGCAAGGGCAAAUCUAUAAAUAGGCCUGCAGUACCCUGAAAACGGGUCUUCGCCCCUGCGCACAAAAGACCACCUUUAUUUUCCUGCAUCUUUCUUUCCUGC
Molecule: long non-coding RNA, 870 nt
Filed under: Ananas comosus (pineapple)
Lineage: Eukaryota; Viridiplantae; Streptophyta; Magnoliopsida; Poales; Bromeliaceae
Description: long non-coding RNA (ACOM_LNC042507)
Source: RNAcentral